UGGGGAAUUUUGGACAAUGGGCGAAAGCCUGAUCCAGCAAUGCCGCGUGUGUGAAGAAGGCCUUCGGGUUGUAAAGCACUUUUGUCCGGAAAGAAAUCCUUGGCUCUAAUACAGUCGGGGGAUGACGGUACCGGAAGAAUAAGCACCGGCUAACUACGUGCCAGCAGCCGCGGUAAUACGUAGGGUGCAAGCGUUAAUCGGAAUUACUGGGCGUAAAGCGUGCGCAGGCGGUUUGCUAAGACCGAUGUGAAAUCCCCGGGCUCAACCUGGGAACUGCAUUGGUGACUGGCAGGCUAGAGUACGGCAGAGGGGGGUAGAAUUCCACGUGUAGCAGUGAAAUGCGUAGAGAUGUGGAGGAAUACCGAUGGCGAAGGCAGCCCCCUGGGCCAAUACUGACGCUCAUGCACGAAAGCGUGGGGAGCAAACAGGAUUAGAUACCCUGGUAGUCCACGCCCUAAACGAUGUCAACUAGUUGUUGGGGAUUCAUUUCCUUAGUAACGUAGCUAACGCGUGAAGUUGACCGCCUGGGGAGUACGGUCGCAAGAUUAAAACUCAAAGGAAUUGACGGGGUCAUAGCUG
This 579-nucleotide ribosomal RNA is filed under the name uncultured bacterium. RNAcentral's name for it is "partial 16S ribosomal RNA". It matches the Rfam family "Bacterial small subunit ribosomal RNA", at positions 355 to 932 of the family's 1533-position model. The record is from RNAcentral.